UCGCUGCUGCUGGGCAACUCCAUCCUCGUGGACCUGCUGGGUGAGCCUCCCGGGAUUGCGGUGGGCCACAUCUACUACUUCCUGCAGGACGUCUUCCCCAACCAGCCCGGAGGCAAGAGGCUCCUGCAGACCCCUGGCUUCCUAAAGCUGCUCCUGGAUGCCCCUGCAGAAGACCCCAAUUACCUGCCCCUCCCUGAGGAACAGCCAGGACCCCAUCUGCCACCCCCGCAGCAGUGACCCCACCCAGGGCCAGGCCUAAGAGGCUUCUGGCAGCUUCCAUCCUACCCAUGACCCCUACUUGGGGCAGAAAAAACCCAUCCUAAAGGCUGGGCCCAUGCAAGGGCCCACCCGAAUAAACAGAAUGAGCUGCA
Molecule: small RNA, 371 nt
Filed under: Pan troglodytes (chimpanzee)
Lineage: Eukaryota; Metazoa; Chordata; Mammalia; Primates; Hominidae
Description: processed transcript
Source: RNAcentral